RNAcentral lists this ribosomal RNA (1177 nucleotides) under Halocynthia papillosa. RNAcentral's name for it is "large ribosomal RNA". The stretch from base 765 to 1119 matches the Rfam family "Archaeal large subunit ribosomal RNA", at positions 2151 to 2715 of the family's 2987-position model. Lineage: Eukaryota; Metazoa; Chordata; Ascidiacea; Stolidobranchia; Pyuridae. The record is from RNAcentral.
UCUUUGAGUGAAUAAAAAAAAAUUUAGUGUGCAUUUAAUUCAUUUUAUAAGGUAAGUAUUGGAGAGAGAAAAUAUAAAUAUUUGAUAGGAAGAUUAAUCGUAAUAGAAGUGGGUGGAUAAGGAAUAUAAAUUGAAAUUUUUUGCCUUUUGUAUAAUGAUUUAGUGAGUUUGAAAUAUUGUUUUAUAUAUUUUAUUGAAGUAGAUAGAUAUACUUUUAUUUGAAAAAGGAAGAGUUGUAAUUUUAUGUUAAGAUAGAAGUAGUUAUGAUAUGUAAAUCGGUAUCUAGGAUAGCUAGUUAUAAUUUAUUGUGAAAAACUAAGAUUUAAUUUUUUGGAGUCAAUUAAUUUAGGGUCAGCUUUAAUUAAUAUGUAAUUUUAGGUAUUGGAUUUAUUUUAUAAGUUUUUUUAAAAAAUGAAGAAGAUGGGUGUAUUUUUGUAAAUUAUUGUGAUUAUGCUAAGAAAAGUACAUGAUUCUUUUAAGUUAGGUAUAUAAUUUGAAAUAUAUUUUAUAAUUUUUAUUUUGAUAUUUUAAUAAGGAAUUUGGUUAAGUUUUGCAUGUUUACUAAAAACUUAGUUUAUUGAGACUUAUAAUAAGCAAUAUCUGCUCGGUGUUGAUUAUUUAUAUAAAAGGGGCUUAUAUUUGGAGCUUAAUGUAGCGUAGUAAUUUGGCUAUUAAUUGUAGUCUAGUGAUGGGUAUGUCGGAUCUUAAUUUGUCUUGUUAAAAAAAUUGGAAAUUUUUUCUUGGUGAAAAUACCAAGAUGUAUACAAAAGAAAAAAAGACCCUAGGUGGUUUAGGUUAAUUAAUUUGCUUAAAAUUAAAAAUCUUUAACUGGGGCAGUUGUUGAUGAAAUUUAAUUUCAAUGAUAGAAAAUUAAGGUAAAAUAUAUUUAAAGAUCCUCUAUUAUUAUAUCAUAAAGUAAAAGGGAAGCGAAAAACCAACCCUAGGGUUAACAGCGCAAUUAAUUAGGAGAGUGCAUAUUGAUUAAUUAGUUUACGACCUCGAUGUCGACUUAGAUUAACUGCUGGGUGUAGAUGCUCAGAUAAGUUUGUUUGUUCACCAAUUAAAUAUCUACGUGAGUUGGGUUUAGAACGGGGUAACUUAGUUCGGAUUUUUUCUUUGAAUAAAAAAAACAUUAGUACGAAAGGAUUGUGUUUAAUUAAUGAUAAUUGGAAUAAGU